Hyaena hyaena (striped hyena) is the source of this 138-nucleotide small nuclear RNA. RefSeq annotates it as U4 spliceosomal RNA. Lineage: Eukaryota; Metazoa; Chordata; Mammalia; Carnivora; Hyaenidae. The transcript has a single exon. The record is from RefSeq and is a predicted model, not a curated record.
AGCUUUACGCGGUGGCAGCAUUGUAGCCAAUGAGGUUUAUCCGAGGAGCGAUUAUUGCUAUUGUUUAAUUAUAAUUGAUAUAUAUAAUGAUUACAUUUGAUUUGUAAGAAGAUUUUAGUAAUCUAUACUAUGUAACAG